This 781-nucleotide ribosomal RNA is filed under the name Moraxella catarrhalis. RNAcentral describes it as "bacterial SSU rRNA". It matches the Rfam family "Bacterial small subunit ribosomal RNA", at positions 110 to 890 of the family's 1533-position model. The record is from RNAcentral. Lineage: Bacteria; Pseudomonadati; Pseudomonadota; Gammaproteobacteria; Moraxellales; Moraxellaceae.
GUAAUGCUUAGGAAUCUGCCUAGUAGUGGGGGAUAACUUGGGGAAACCCAAGCUAAUACCGCAUACGACCUACGGGUGAAAGGGGGCUUUUAGCUCUCGCUAUUAGAUGAGCCUAAGUCGGAUUGGCUGGUUGGUGGGGUAAAGNCCUACCAAGGCGACGAUCUGUAGCUGGUCUGAGAGGAUGAUCAGCCACACUGGGACUGAGACACGGCCCAGACUCUUACGGGAGGCAGCAGUGGGGAAUAUUGGACAAUGGGCGAAAGCCUGAUCCAGCCAUGCCGCGUGUGUGAAGAAGGCCUUUUGGUUGUAAAGCACUUUAAGUGGGGAGGAAAAGCUUAUGGUUAAUACCCAUAAGCCCUGACGUUACCCACAGAAUAAGCACCGGCUAACUCUGUGCCAGCAGCCGCGGUAAUACAGAGGGUGCAAGCGUUAAUCGGAAUUACUGGGCGUAAAGCGCGCGUAGGUGGUUAUUUAAGUCAGAUGUGAAAGCCCCGGGCUUAACCUGGGAACUGCAUCUGAUACUGGAUAACUAGAGUAGGUGAGAGGGGAGUAGAAUUCCAGGUGUAGCGGUGAAAUGCGUAGAGAUCUGGAGGAAUACCGAUGGCGAAGGCAGCUCCCUGGCAUCAUACUGACACUGAGGUGCGAAAGCGUGUGUAGCAAACAGGAUUAGAUACCCUGGUAGUCCACGCCGUAAACCGAUGUCUACCAGUCGUUGGGUCUUUUAAAGACUUAGUGAUCGCAGUUAACGCAAUAAGUAGACCGCCUGGGGAGUACGGCCGCA